RNAcentral lists this ribosomal RNA (468 nucleotides) under uncultured bacterium. RNAcentral's name for it is "partial 16S ribosomal RNA". It matches the Rfam family "Bacterial small subunit ribosomal RNA", at positions 28 to 507 of the family's 1533-position model. The record is from RNAcentral.
GACGAACGCUGGCGGCGUGCUUAACACAUGCAAGUCGAACGGAAAGGCCCUGCUUUUGUGGGGUGCUCGAGUGGCGAACGGGUGAGUAACACGUGAGUAACCUGCCCUUGACUUUGGGAUAACUUCAGGAAACUGGGGCUAAUACCGGAUAGGAGCUCCUGCUGCAUGGUGGGGGUUGGAAAGUUUCGGCGGUUGGGGAUGGACUCGCGGCUUAUCAGCUUGUUGGUGGGGUAGUGGCUUACCAAGGCUUUGACGGGUAGCCGGCCUGAGAGGGUGACCGGCCACAUUGGGACUGAGGUACGGCCCAGACUCCUACGGGAGGCAGCAGUGGGGAAUAUUGCACAAUGGGCGGAAGGCUGAUGCAGCAACGCCGCGUGCGGGAUGACGGCCUUCGGGGUGUAAACCGCUUUCGCCUGUGACGAAGCGUGAGUGACGGUAAUGGGUAAAGAAGCACCGGCUAACUACGUG